AUUGAACGCUGGCGGCAGGCCUAACACAUGCAAGUCGAACGGUAACAGGAAGCAGCUUGCUGCUUCGCGGAGGAGAGGCGGACGGGUGAGUAAUGUAUGGGAAGCUGCCUGAUGGAGGGGGAUAACUACUGGGAACGGUAGCUAAUACCGCAUAAUGUCGCAAGACCAAAGAGGGGGAGCUUCGGGCCUCUUGCCAUCGGAUGUGCCCAGAUGGGAUUAGCUUGUUGGUGGGGUAACGGCUCACCAAGGCGACGAUCCCUAGCUGGUCUGAGAGGAUGAUCAGCCACACUGGAACUGAGACACGGUCCAGACUCCUACGGGAGGCAGCAGUGGGGAAUAUUGCACAAUGGGCGCAAGCCUGAUGCAGCCAUGCCGCGUGUAUGAAGAAGGCCUUCGGGUUGUAAAGUACUUUCAGCGGGGAGGAAGGGCGUAAAGUUAAUACCUUGGCUCAUUGACGUUACCCGCAGAAGAAGCACCGGCUAACUUCGUG
Molecule: ribosomal RNA, 490 nt
Filed under: uncultured bacterium
Lineage: Bacteria
Description: partial 16S ribosomal RNA
Rfam family: Bacterial small subunit ribosomal RNA
Source: RNAcentral